This 1435-nucleotide long non-coding RNA is filed under the name Solanum tuberosum (potato). RNAcentral's name for it is "long non-coding RNA (STUB_LNC005038)". Lineage: Eukaryota; Viridiplantae; Streptophyta; Magnoliopsida; Solanales; Solanaceae. The record is from RNAcentral.
AACAAAAAAGAUCAAGUAGUAGCAUUACCAUGUGAAGCAAAAAAGGGGAAGUUACAAAUUUGACCACUCAGCCACAAAUAUUUACAUCCGCAAGCCAUUACACAUAUAUUAUGGGUAUACAUAUUUUUAAAAAUAUUUUGACAAAUCUUCUUGUAGAUCAAUUUUGGAGAAAAGAUCCAAAAUAGUUCCUUAUGUUUGGCUUCAGACUCAAGGUCAUCCCUUCCCUUUCUUUUAUAUGGUGCACUAAUAGUCCUUUAAGUUUCAAGUAUUAGUGCACUUUUAAUCUCUUCAUUAACAUCCAUUUACUCAUUAACGUUUUGAUCCUUUACACAUCCAUUUAUGGCCUCCGCUGUAUACGUUCUGGUAUAACACAAAUUAAUUCUUAGAUUUAUCUUAGCAGUUGCAGAUGAGUCUUCAUUUGUACUUGUUUUAUUUUUUGGCUCUGCAUCUUUCAUUGUUUGGUGUGCACCAUUCAAGAUUUGCUAAUUCUUUAACUUUCUCCUCUAUUUUCCAUACGCAAUUAAUAAGCUGACUAUAAGUCUUUGGGUUUUCCUGAAUAAAAGCUGACUAUAUAUCUGAAACAUAACCAAAGAAUAAAAUAAAAACAAGAAAAAAGGAAAAAUAUAAUACAUACUUAGUCUUCGUGUAUCAAUAUCUCAAAUUAGCAUCGGAUAAAAGUGCACUAAUACUUAAAACUUUGGAGGACUAUUAGUGCACCAAUUGAUGAUUUCGAAUCUAAAGCCAAAAAUAAAGGACUAUCUUGUAUUUUUUCUUUCGAUUUGGGCUGAUAUGGUUUGGACGGAUCAAUAAUCAGCCAAAUAGAGUCAAUAAGAGGAGACUAGUAAAGAAGUAGUCAUGCGGUUUUCUAGUCUUUUCAUUAACUAGUCAAUAAUUAUUUUUAAAGCUACAUAUCAAGUUAGCAUAUAGAGCAAUUUUGCAGGUAAUUUAAGGAUUAAGGAGCAUGAAACAGUAAUUACCCUUUUCUACUAAUAUCAAUCUACAAAUCCUUGGAAAUGGAACAAUUUUAACUUGCCCAAUAUUGAAAUGUAAAAGAUGGAAAGAAAUAAAAAGAAUUAGCAUAAACAGAAACAAUGACAGCAAAACCCUAUAUCCAUCCCCAAAUAGCACAAAUUCAGAUUCAGAUUCAGAUUCAAAUUCAAAAAAAUAAUCAGAAAUCUAACCUUAUAAGCUGAUGAAGAAGAAGUGCCGCAAUUACGACAAGGUAAAAAUGGAAAAAGAGAUUGGAUUGAUUGAGUGGUGUUGUAGAAAUACCUCCAACAGUUGACUACUUCCUCACUUUCCUACACUUCUUUUGUCAUUUUAGUUUAUAUAACUCCCCUUAAUUCCUUUUAUCCAAGUUUUUAAUACCAAGGGAUAUGAUGGAGUAAUAAGUACUUAUUCAUUGUUAAUUAGAGGUCUUGGAUUUGAAUCUUUU